Long non-coding RNA from Gopherus flavomarginatus (Mexican gopher tortoise), 720 nucleotides. RefSeq lists it as uncharacterized. NCBI's taxonomy places the organism in Eukaryota, Metazoa, Chordata, Testudines, Testudinidae. The record is from RefSeq and is a predicted model, not a curated record. The transcript is spliced from 2 exons.
UCUCAGUUAUCACACUAUUUUUAUUAGUGUUACAUCAAAAACCAAAACCACACCAACAUUUGGAUUUGAAUUAGGACCCCCAUACACCUCCAUAUUUUUUAAUAGAAAAAGCAUGAGUCUCAGCACAAAUCAAAUUGCAACUCUUGGAGGUACACCCAGCCCUAGCCACGUUAUCCACCAACACAGAAAUGAGAUUGUAAGGGUUUCACUAGCUUACAAGAUUCAUUAGCUCUGUAGAGAUUUUUGAGAUUAUAGCCAGGCUUUGCCAAACAUGCCAUUUUACGGCUGGAGCUUGGAGAGACCAAGAAUUGCCGCUGGGAGAUAAACAACUGUUCAUGAGAUACGUUGUCACAUGCAAAAGACGACAGCGUGAAGUUUGAUCCUCAUCUGACAAGGUAUUCUUUUUUGUCUGCAGUAUUGCAAAACCUGUGCCACUCUAUAGUAUAAGUGAAAAUGCCAACACCAUGCAGAAUGAGAUUUUUGGGCAACCAUGGAGGACUGUAAACUCCUCUUUUGUUUUAUAUUCUAUUUAGAUGCUCAACAGGAGAAGUUGCCUCAGGCACCAUGGUGGAAAACUAAGGACCGCAAGUAUUCCUGAGACUUUGGAAAACUAUAGUCAAAUAGCAGACUCCGCAGCUACAGAGCAGUCUGUUAGCACUUCAUCCAAGUAAGCCACUACAAAAUAUACCAAUAAUAUAAAAUAAGUAAAACAGUAAGAAA